Molecule: non-coding RNA, 167 nt
Filed under: marine eukaryotic metagenome
Source: RNAcentral
GGAACAGGUGCUAUUACCAAAGGUAAAGCUUAAAAGGGAAGCCGGUGCAAAUCCGGCGCGGUCCCCGCCACUGUAAUGGGGAGAGGUCUCACAUAAAGCCACUGGGCGUUAACCCGGGAAGGCGUGAGGUCUCGGUGAACCUGAGCCAGGAGACCUGCCUGUUCCGU